Molecule: long non-coding RNA, 1919 nt
Organism: Papaver somniferum (opium poppy)
Lineage: Eukaryota; Viridiplantae; Streptophyta; Magnoliopsida; Ranunculales; Papaveraceae
Exons: 8
Source: RefSeq, a predicted model, not a curated record
UUAGGCGAGAUGCCCAAGGUUAGAAGAUAUUUUCCCCUUUCUUUGAUUUCUAUCCCUGCCUCUGCUACUACUGGACAGAUAUUCUCUCUCUCUCUCGGUCUCUCGAUCUCUCAGAUUUCUUUUUCUUUCUUCCAUUCGAUUCAUUGUCAUAACAUUGAAUCGAAUAUCUGUUCCCAAUAAUAUUAAUCAGAGUUAUCUUUCCUAAACCUAUAUCUCAGAAACAAACCGAUCUUCAUAAACCAAACCCAAUCUUUCAAUAAUACGUUUGAACCCUAGAAGUUUGAUUUUCUCUGACAUAAACCUUAGAAAACGAAAUCUCUAUACUUUAUGCACGACCUAUUGCUGACUAGUCCAAGAAUAUGAGUUUAUAAAAUCCUAGAUUCUUCAUAUUGAGAAGAUUAGUCAAAAGAAGAGAAGUAGGAAGAAUUAGAUUUUGGAGGGUUCUCAAGCACAACAGUUUCAUGGUGAGCCAUCUAAAUGACAUUGGUAAGAGAUUAGACAGGGAAUCAGUAAAGUGCAACCCACUUUAACAGAAAUCAGUGAACUAGUGAUGCUUCCAAGCCGUGUUCCAAGCGUUGUGGAAUACCUUGUCCAGUGGGAGGAAUUAUUAUCUACGCUGCACAUGUUAUGUCUUCUUAGAAACUGAUUAUGUGAAACUGCGUCCCUUUGUUAUUCAAUGAAUUGGUAGUGGCAUUUAGUUGGGUUCUUCAGUUUACUAAGAGGCUUUUCAGCAUUAUUUCAAUUAUUAUAUUACUUUUCAUGCUUGCAUAGGAUAAGAAUCAGAUUUACCUGUCAUCCGUGAAACAUCCAACGUAAUUGCAUUAGGGAGCUGAAUUCGGGUGAGCUUUUGUCCAAACAAAAGUUUCAUUAGUACCAAAUUCGUUAGAAUAUUGUAGCUUUAUUAGGAUUUGCUAAUUGCUAUUAAUGUUACUACUUGGGGUAAAUUGUGCGCUAAUAUUUCUAGUAUUAUGAAGAUUUAUGUCAAAGUGAUUGUUUUACUCUUGAAAUUGAGUUGGAUUUUUUUUUGUGUACAGAUUGAUGGGGGAUCAAAUGUUGAGAAACUUGGGGUUGCAAAACAUCCAAACUUUUAUUAAAAUGGUGCUGACAUUUAUGUUAGCAUCUCUCUUUCCUUGGGAUUGCAUCAAACUUGGAUUUGAUCUUGUAUUGGGUACCUCCAAUGUAGACGAUGGAUCGUGCGGUCACUUAACAAAGUAUAGUUGUAGCUCUGGAGAUAUAAAUCACAAUUAAUGGAAGCAUUGAUAAGCCGGAUCUUCGAGUAUUUCUGAAUUGGGAUGAAGUCCAUCUCGAUUUUCCAUUGUCAAGAUACCCCUCCAACUCAUCCAACUGGUACGUUGGAUCCUGUAUGAUUCAAUUAUAGUUAGGUAUUGGUUCAUUGAGGGUUGGGUUGAAUUCUUGACAACUGCAGUGUCUAUCAGAAGCACAAGAUAGAUAAAUCUAUGGAUAUGGAGUUGCAUCGAAAUGUUAAUUGUAGAUCUUGUCAAAGGUAACCACUUGGUUCUAGAUAUUGGACUGGAACAACUUAAACUCUACAUGGCUGAAACAAAGUUGAAAUGGCAGAAGUAAUUAAACCGGGAAAAGUUCUGUAUGAACAAUUAAAAUCAGAAGAGGAAGCUAGCUGAAACGUUAGGAUCCAAAUGGAGGAGCAAGGAUGAGCUAAAGCGCUUUUAUGAAGCAUAUGGGAAAGACUUCAUUUUUGUUUUUUCUUGUAUUUGCUUUGUUACUUAUGUUAACAAUAGUAAAAAUGGCAAAAUAACAAAUCUGGAUCUUGGGUGAUUGUUGAUUCUUGAAGUAGUAUAAUAUGUAUACAAAUUGUUCUUCACUAUUAUAUUUGAUUCUAGUUUUGUAUUCAGCUGAAUCCAAAGAUGAUUCAGCUGAAUCAAUUUUCUUUUUUUAUAAAA